UGGGGAAUAUUGGACAAUGGGCGAAAGCCUGAUCCAGCCAUGCCGCGUGUGUGAAGACGGUCUUCGGAUUGUAAAGCACUUUAAGUUGGGAGGAAGGGCAGUAAGCGAAUACCUUGCUGUUUUGACGUUACCGACAGAAUAAGCACCGGCUUACUCUGUGCCCGCAGCCGCGGUAAUACAGCGGGUGCAAGCGUUAAUCGGAACUACUGGGCGUAAAGCGCGCGUAGGUGGUUCGUUAAGUUGAAUGGGACAGCCCCGAGCUCAACCUGGGAACUGCAUCCAAAACUGGCGAGCUAGAGUAGGGCAGAGGGUGGUGGAAUUUCCUGUGUGGCGGUGAAAUGCGUAGAUAUAGGAAGGAACACCAAUGGCGAAGGCGACCACCUGGGCUCAUACUGACACUGAGGUGCGAAAGCGUGGGGAGCAAACAGG
This 429-nucleotide ribosomal RNA is filed under the name Pseudomonadota bacterium. RNAcentral's name for it is "Proteobacteria bacterium partial 16S ribosomal RNA". It matches the Rfam family "Bacterial small subunit ribosomal RNA", at positions 355 to 776 of the family's 1533-position model. Lineage: Bacteria; Pseudomonadati; Pseudomonadota. The record is from RNAcentral.